Pteropus alecto (black flying fox) is the source of this 527-nucleotide long non-coding RNA. RefSeq lists it as uncharacterized. The transcript has 2 exons. Lineage: Eukaryota; Metazoa; Chordata; Mammalia; Chiroptera; Pteropodidae. The record is from RefSeq and is a predicted model, not a curated record.
GACAGCCGCGCAGGUCGGGCGCGCGGCCAGGGGACAUGGCGCUGCUGGACAGAGGUGGGAGGCCAGACCGGACGCUGUCAAAGGGGGUCGGGAGAUGAGGAUGGACAAAGCGGAAUGUCCGAGGACAAGGUCGGAGCUCGAUGUCGCGCUUGCCGUUUCCGCCUCAGUUCCAGCGCCAGGGGCUGCAGCAGACGCAGCAGCAGCAGCAGACGGCGGCUCUGGUCCGGCAGCUCCAGCAGCAGCUCUCCAAUACACAGCCGCAGCCCAGCACCAACAUAUUUGGACGCUACUGAGCCACCUGGAGGAGCCGCUUGGGCACCGGAUGCGGCCCCACCCUGUCCUCCGAAUUCCCUGUUCCCUUCCCGGCCAAGCACCAGGGGCGGUUGGGGCUCUUCCCUCAGGCUCCUGUUUUUAAUGAGUUUUUCGUAUUUUUGUUAACGUGAGGCAUCCAGCUGUGGGGUUUUGUAUGUUAUUUAUAUAGAGGCCCCAGAGCUGUCGCACCCAAUACACAGAGCUUCUUUGCAGAG